GAGUUUGAUCCUGGCUCAGGAUGAACGCUAGCGGCAGGCUUAACACAUGCAAGUCGAGGGGUAACGGGGAAGCUUGCUUCCGCCGACGACCGGCGCACGGGUGCGUAACGCGUAUACAAUCUACCUUGUACUGGGGUAUAGCCUUUAGAAAUGAAGAUUAAUCCCCCAUAGUCUCUUAGAGUGGCAUCACUUCUAGAGUAAAGGUUACGGUAUAAGAUGAGUAUGCGUUCUAUUAGUUUGUUGGUGUGGUAACGGCACACCAAGACUACGAUAGAUAGGGGCCCUGAGAGGGGGAUCCCCCACACUGGUACUGAGACACGGACCAGACUCCUACGGGAGGCAGCAGUGAGGAAUAUUGGACAAUGGAGGCAACUCUGAUCCAGCCAUGCCGCGUGCAGGAAGACUGCCCUAUGGGUUGUAAACUGCUUUUAUACAGGAAGAAACACCUCUACGUGUAGAGGCUUGACGGUACUGUAAGAAUAAGGAUCGGCUAACUCCGUGCCAGCAGCCGCGGUAAUACGGAGGAUCCAGGCGUUAUCCGGAAUCAUUGGGUUUAAAGGGUCCGUAGGUGGAUAACUAAGUCAGAGGUGAAAUCUUGCAGCUCAACUGUAAAAUUGCCUUUGAAACUGGUUAUCUUGAGUUAUUAUGAAGUAGUUAGAAUAUGUAGUGUAGCGGUGAAAUGCAUAGAUAUUACAUAGAAUACCAAUUGCGAAGGCAGAUUACUAAUAAUUAACUGACACUGAUGGACGAAAGCGUGGGUAGCGAACAGGAUAAGAUACCCUGGUAGUCCACGCCGUAAACGAUGGUUACUAGCUGUUUGGACUUCGGUCUGAGUGGCUAAGCGAAAGUGAUAAGUAACCCACCUGGGGAGUACGUUCGCAAGAAUGAAACUCAAAGGAAUUGACGGGGGCCCGCACAAGCGGUGGAGCAUGUGGUUUAAUUCGAUGAUACGCGAGGAACCUUACCAGGGCUUAAAUGUAAGUUGCAUUAGCUAGAGAUAGCUAUUUCUUCGGACCACUUACAAGGUGCUGCAUGGUUGUCGUCAGCUCGUGCCGUGAGGUGUCAGGUUAAGUCCUAUAACGAGCGCAACCCCUGUUGUUAGUUGCCAGCGAGUCAUGUCGGGAACUCUAACAAGACUGCCAGUGCAAACUGUGAGGAAGGUGGGGAUGACGUCAAAUCAUCACGGCCCUUACGUCCUGGGCUACACACGUGCUACAAUGGUAGGUACAGAGAGCAGCCACUGCGCGAGCAGGAGCGAAUCUAUAAAACCUAUCACAGUUCGGAUCGGAGUCUGCAACUCGACUCCGUGAAGCUGGAAUCGCUAGUAAUCGGAUAUCAGCCAUGAUCCGGUGAAUACGUUCCCGGGCCUUGUACACACCGCCCGUC
RNAcentral lists this ribosomal RNA (1386 nucleotides) under uncultured marine bacterium. Its description in RNAcentral is "bacterial SSU rRNA". It matches the Rfam family "Bacterial small subunit ribosomal RNA". The record is from RNAcentral.